GAUGAAGAACGUAGCGAAAUGCGAUACUUGGUGUGAAUUGCAGAAUCCCGUGAACCAUCGAGUCUUUGAACGCAAGUUGCGCCCGAAGCCAUUAGGCCGAGGGCACGCCUGCCUGGGCGUCACACGUCGUUGCCCCCCCAUCUACUCCGUCGGGAUUGCGGGGGGCGGAUGAUGGCCUCCCGUGCGCCUCGUCGCGCGGUUGGCAUAAAUGCCAAGUCCUCGGCGACGCACGCCACGACAAUCGGUGGUUGCGAAACCUCGGUUGCCCGUCGUGUGCGGUCGUCGCGCAUCGAGGGCUCGAAAAAAUUGCCGGGCUCCGACUCGGCUUUCAACGCGACCCCAGGUCAGGCGGGGUUACCCGCUGAAUUUAAGCAUAUCAAUAAGCGGAGGA
RNAcentral lists this unclassified non-coding RNA (391 nucleotides) under soil metagenome. Its description in RNAcentral is "partial contains 5.8S ribosomal RNA, internal transcribed spacer 2, and large subunit ribosomal RNA". The stretch from base 1 to 122 matches the Rfam family "5.8S ribosomal RNA", at positions 35 to 154 of the family's 154-position model. The record is from RNAcentral.